UGGGCUGCAAUUCGGUCACGGAGCGGGCGUAAUAGUCUACUCAGACCCGUCGAUCUUCUUGACCAAAUUCAUUUCCUGGUAGUGGGUCGUCUUGCCCGUGUUGUCGUUCUUGAUCGAGUAACGCGCAGUCCCGUCCUCGGCCUCGUAGACCUUCUCAAUCACACCGGUAAAGUGUGCAACGUUCUCCUCAGCGCCGCCAAUGGGGCGG
Molecule: unclassified non-coding RNA, 208 nt
Filed under: Hevea brasiliensis (rubber tree)
Lineage: Eukaryota; Viridiplantae; Streptophyta; Magnoliopsida; Malpighiales; Euphorbiaceae
Source: RNAcentral